UUUAUUACUAUGAUGAGAAGAGUAGCUUUUAAAUGUAGUCUUAGCGAAUAAGGGAUGGUGUGAGCCUUAUACGAAGUUAAUUGUGAAGAACAUCUCGGAGUUUCUAACCGAACAAGCGUAAGCUUCUGUAGGCUUAGACGGCUAAAUGUCGUUAUUAAUUUGCUAAGUGGCCUAUUUUUAGGCAAUUUGGGUGGUACCACGUAAGUUAUUCCUUUCGUCCCAUAU
This 225-nucleotide non-coding RNA is filed under the name Clostridium celatum. RNAcentral's name for it is "T-box sequence". It matches the Rfam family "T-box leader". From Rfam's summary of the family: Uncharged tRNA acts as the effector for transcription antitermination of genes in the T-box leader family. Lineage: Bacteria; Bacillati; Bacillota; Clostridia; Eubacteriales; Clostridiaceae. The record is from RNAcentral.